UAGCGACCGCUGCUGAUCGCGGGAGGAUCUCUCCUCAGAGUCGGGUUGCUUGAGAGUGCAGCCCUAAGUGGGUGGUAAACUCCAUCUAAGGCUAAAUAUGACCACGAGACCGAUAGCGAACAAGUACCGUGAGGGAAAGUUGAAAAGCACUUUGAAGAGAGAGUUCAAGAGUACGUGAAACCGUUUAGGGGUAAACCUGAGAAACCCGAAAGGUCGAAGGGAGAAAUUCAUCGUGUUUCGAUGUUGGCGCGAGGCGGUCGCGCGACGGAGAGGGUUCGUCCCGAUCCGCGCCUUCCGCAUCGUCGAUCCGACGUCGAACGCGUGCACUUUUCUCCUGGUAGGACGUCGCGAUCCGUUGGGCGUCGAUCUACGGCCCGGGGUGGAGCCCGCGCGGUUUUUGCCGCGCGAACCCCCGGUGUCCUGACCGACUCGCUCGACGGUAGACGAACGGUCGAGGGCCGCUUUAGAAGCGUUCGGCUCGUUGCAAGCGCGCCGGAAGCGUCGGAUGUCGGACCUGGUGCCGAUACCGAUCUCCGGUGACUGUUGGCGACGAAG
RNAcentral lists this ribosomal RNA (555 nucleotides) under Squamapion elongatum. RNAcentral describes it as "partial large subunit ribosomal RNA". It matches the Rfam family "Eukaryotic large subunit ribosomal RNA", at positions 224 to 634 of the family's 3401-position model. The record is from RNAcentral. Lineage: Eukaryota; Metazoa; Arthropoda; Insecta; Coleoptera; Brentidae.